RNAcentral lists this unclassified non-coding RNA (753 nucleotides) under Hevea brasiliensis (rubber tree). Lineage: Eukaryota; Viridiplantae; Streptophyta; Magnoliopsida; Malpighiales; Euphorbiaceae. The record is from RNAcentral.
AAUGGAGUUGCCGAACAAAAAAAUCAACACCUUACUCAUACAUCAUAAUGUUCCUCUUUAUUUUUGGAGGUUUGUUGUUCUUACUGCCCGUUAUUUGAUUAAUCGCAUGCCUUCUUCUGUUUUGCAGCAUCCGAGUCCUUAUUCUCUUUUAUAUCCAAAUCAAAAUUCUCAUCAUCUCCCACUUCAUGUGUUUGGCUGUACAUGCUUCGUUCAUAACCUUUCUCCUGGCAAAGAUAAACUUCAACCAAAAUCAGUUAAGUGUGUCUUUCUAGGUUAUUCUCGCCUUUAAAAGGGUUACAAAUGUUAUGAUCCAGUCAUAAAUAAAUAUUACAUAUCAGCAGAUUAAACCUUUUUUGAAACAUAUCCAUAUUUCUCAGCAAACACAACAGACCAACAUUCUGUCACUAAGGCCCUUCCUACUCUGAUUGUUCCUCUUCUACAAGACACCUCAUAACUUCCUCUUCAAGUCUACUCACGCCAUCAUCACACUUCUGUUAACCAAAAGAUUGUUUCUGCAAAUAAUACAGGUAUUCUUCCAAGUGACUCUUCUCCUGCCUCACCACCAUCUCCUACACCAGUCGUGUCCCCAACAAAAACAGCAACUCCUCCCAUUGUCGUUCGAAAAGGCAUUUGUCCUACUCAAAACCCUCACCUAAUUUAUAACUAUCUUGAGUUAUCAUUGCUUAUCUCCUUCAUACUAUUCUUUUGUUUCUAUUUUGUCUAAUAUCCCUAUACCUAAGUUUGUCAGUGAAG